GUAGGACCCAAGCGUUAUCCGGAUUGACUGGGCGUAAAGAGUUGCGUAGGUGGUUUGUUAAGCGAAUAGUGAAAUCUUGUGGCUCAACCAUAAGGCUAUUAUUCGAACUGGCAAACUCGAGAAUGGGAGAGGUAUCUAGAAUUCCUCAUGUAGGGGUAAUAUCCGUAGAUAUGAGGAGGAAUACCAAUGGCGUAGGCAGGAUACUGGCCCAUUUCUGACACUAAGGCACGAAAGCGUGGGGAGCGAACCGGAUUAGAUACCCGGGUAGUCCACGCCGUAAACGAUGAAUACUAGUUGUAUGCAGUAUCGACCCUGUGUGUAACGAAGCUAACGCGUUAAGUAUUCCGCCUGGGGAGUACGGUCGCAAGACUA
Molecule: ribosomal RNA, 372 nt
Filed under: uncultured bacterium
Lineage: Bacteria
Description: bacterial SSU rRNA
Rfam family: Bacterial small subunit ribosomal RNA
Source: RNAcentral